This 856-nucleotide ribosomal RNA is filed under the name Neoostropa castaneae. RNAcentral describes it as "partial large subunit ribosomal RNA". It matches the Rfam family "Eukaryotic large subunit ribosomal RNA", at positions 71 to 946 of the family's 3401-position model. The record is from RNAcentral. Lineage: Eukaryota; Fungi; Ascomycota; Lecanoromycetes; Ostropales; Stictidaceae.
GGGAUUGCCUUAGUAACGGCGAGUGAAGCGGCAACAGCUCAAAUUUGAAAUCUGGCUCCUCUGGUGCCCGAGUUGUAAUUUGCAGAGGAUGUUUCGGGUGCGGCACCGUCCUAAGUUUCUUGGAACAGGGCGUCAUAGAGGGUGAGAAUCCCGUGCUCAGGCGGCCGCCAAACUCAUGUGAAACUCCUUCGACGAGUCGAGUUGUUUGGGAAUGCAGCUCAAAAUGGGUGGUAUAUUUCAUCUAAAGCUAAAUACCGGCCAGAGACCGAUAGCGCACAAGUAGAGUGAUCGAAAGAUGAAAAGCACUUUGGAAAGAGAGUUAAAAAGUACGUGAAAUUGUUGAAAGGGAAGCGCUCGCAACCAGACUCGCCCUUGGGGGAUCAGCCGUCCUUUUGGCCGGUGCACUUCCCCUUUGGCGGGCCAGCAUCGGUUUUGGCGGCCGGAUAAAGGCCCCGGGAACGUAGCUCUCUUCGGGGAGUGUUAUAGCCCGGGGUGCAAUGCGGCCAGCCGGGACCGAGGACCGCGCUUUGCUAGGAUGCUGGCAUAAUGGUUGUCAGCGACCCGUCUUGAAACACGGACCAAGGAGUCGACCAACUACGCGAGUGUUUGGGUGUAAAACUCGUGCGCGUAAUGAAAGUGAACGGAGGUGAGAGCCCGCAAGGGUGCAUCAUCGACCGAUCCUGAUGUCUUCGGAUGGAUUUGAGUAUGAGCGUAGCUGGUCGGACCCGAAAGAUGGUGAACUAUGCCUAAAUAGGGUGAAGCCAGAGGAAACUCUGGUGGAGGCUCGCAGCGGUUCUGACGUGCAAAUCGAUCGUCAAAUUUGGGUAUAGGGGCGAAAGACUAAUCGAACCAUUGA